GACGAACGCUGGCGGCGUGCUUAACACAUGCAAGUCGAACGAAGAGCGAUGGAAGCUUGCUUCUAUCAAUCUUAGUGGCGCACGGGUGAGUAACGCGUAAUCACCCUGCCCUUCAGAGGGGGACAACAGUUGGAAACGACUGCUAAUACCGCAUACGAUCUAACCUCGGCAUCGAGGAUAGAUGUAAGGUGGCCUCUACAUGUAAGCUAUCACUGAAGGCGGGGAUUGCGUCUGAUAAGCUAGUUGGUGGGGGAACGGCCCACCAAGGCGAUGAUCAGUAGCCGGUCGUAGAGGAGGGACGGCCACAUUGGGACUGAGACACGGCCCAGACUCCUACGGGGGGCAGCAGUGGGGAAUCUUCCGCAAUGGACGAAAGUCUGACGGAGCAACGCCGCGUGAGUGAUGACGGCCUUCGGGUUGUAAAGCUCUGUUAAUCGGGACGAAAGGCCUUCUUGCGAAUAGUGAGAAGGAUUGACGGUACCGGAAUAGAAAGCCACGGCUAACUACGUG
Molecule: ribosomal RNA, 510 nt
Filed under: uncultured bacterium
Lineage: Bacteria
Description: partial 16S ribosomal RNA
Rfam family: Bacterial small subunit ribosomal RNA
Source: RNAcentral